UUCGCUGAGGGUCCUUCAUGUUUUACGUAGAAACGAUCAUUGGGAUUGGGAGCCAGGUCAAGUGUUCGAUCUGGUUCAUUUAACUUACCUUGCUUCCAACAUUCCCAGUAGUAUUGUUCCUUCAGCCAUAUCAAAACUUCAGAAUCUUCAGACUUUAAUUAUUUAUAGAUCUGAGGUUCGUUUGCCCAUAGAGAUUUGGGGGUUGCAGCAGUUAAAACAUCUUAUUGCCUUCUCAUUUCAACCCUUACCCAACCCUGAAGGGGAAAAAAAUCCCCUUGAGAACCUGCAGGCACUUUCGCUGGCAAUGGACUUGGUGUGGAGUAAAAGAAUGGUGGAAAUGAUUCCAAACAUUAAAAAGCUGGGAAUAUGUUACUCCAAGGUGAAGUUUGACGUGGAUGCGAGCUAUUGCCUUGACAAUCUUAAACAACUAUGUCGACUUGAGAAAUUGAAAUUGGAGAAGCACGAAGGUUUUUCAUCUAGACAACUGAUGAACAUGGAUGGAUUUCGUUUAGACAAGCUAAUAAGAUACUUGGAGGUCUAACCUUUCCUCUGCAAUUGAGAAGGUUAACCUUUAGUGGUUGGAUGCUUCCUUGGAGUGAUACGACGAUCAUUGGUUCAUUACCAAAUCUUCAAGUGCUUAAACUAAGAAACUAUGCUUUUUACGGCAGUUAUUGGACAACAUCUAAGGGACAAUUUCGUGAACUGAGAUAUCUGCUAAUCGACAGUUCAGAUUUGGUUGUUUGGACGACUGAAGCUAGCCACUUCCCGAGACUCGAGUGCCUAAUGCUUCGUCAGUGUCCCAAUCUACGUAGAAUUCCAACUAAUGUUGGACACAUUCCAACACUUAAACUGAUUGAGGUUGAGGUUGACCGUAGGUCGUCCGAAUAUCUUUUGAGAACGGCAAAAUGGAUGGAAGAGGACCGGCAAAAGUUUGGAUAUGAAAGCUUUCAACUUCGUGUGAAGCGUUCCAGAUUAGCUGCUCUGCUGACAAUAUAGGUACUCAUUUUCAGGUUAGAGAUUUGUAAAAUUUGAAUAAUUUGGGUGCCUUUAUUUCGAAACUAGAUAUGUUUAUUUGAGCAAAUUCAUGACUCUUCUCCUUCUUUUCCAAUAUGCUUCUGUUGUAUUUCCGACAGCUGAAUGUGGAUAUAGAAAUAGUCAAAGCUGUAUCAACGAAUUAGAGAUAACAGGGAAGAGAGCUACCGAUUUAGAUAUAUUUAUGAAAAGUUCAAAAUUAUUUAAGUUCACUAUCUGAGGGAGAUAUGCAAAAAUAGGCCAAUAUUUUUCAAACUUCCAAGAAUAGGCCAAUAUUUUUUGAAUUUGCAAAAAUAGGCCAAGUAUUUUAAUUUUUGGUGUUCUUAUGCCACAUUUGGGCCCAAUUCGGCCUUUAUAGGCCAUAUUUUUGGGUCAAGUGACCCAAAAUAGUCUGUUUGGGUUUAAAUGUGGUUCACGGAUGCCAACAUUUAAAAUAAUUGGCCUAUUAUUGUAAUUUCGAAAAAUAUUGGUCUAUUUUUGCAAAUCGCUUUAAAAUAGUGGCCUUAAAUAAUUUUAUACUCUACUUCUGAAAGUAGUAUUUGUUUGUGUGUAAAUGAUCAUAUCACCUAUUCAUUAAAUUCAUAUCUAAAAUAGACCGUUCAAAUAAAUCCUAUGUCUGGAAAACUUGGUUUUAAGGUCAAGAAAAGAGUCAGUUUCAAGUUCCGGCCAAGUUAAGUAUAUUGUUUUAUUUCGUUGCCCAUUAGUUUGCUCAUGUUGCUGUCCCUUGGUAUAUUUCAUCUGUGACUGUAAUUGCAUUAGCUUGAGACGGACAGUCAUGUUUUGGUGCAAUUCGAUGACUAUUACAGUUGAUGAUCUAUAUUGUAAUACCAUUUGGUUGGCCCUUUGUCUCCUCUUUUUAUCGAACUUCUGUUUGUGUUUCAGGUCCUGAAAACAAGAGACUACAUCCAUGUGGAAGAGCGGAUUCCAUUUGGCGAUAUCACCAUAAGACCACGAACGAGGCUGAUAAAAUCCGACUUCUAAACCACAUCUGUGUUAGAAAGUUUCAUAAACAUAAUCAUGAAUGCACAGGAGCUCAGCCUCUGCUCUCUCUCUCUCUCUUUCCUCUGUUUCUCUCUAAUUUAUUUGUGGAAACUAGAUUCAUUCUUUCCAUGUGAUGCUCUCAGAGAUGGUUAGCUGGCUAAUUAGGUUGUUGUUGCGUGUAACUGUUCAACUCAGUAGAUGAUAAGUCUUCUAGAAGUCUUUUGAGAUCAGCAAAAUGGAUAGAAAACAAACUGUUGGAAAUUGGUUGUGAGUAACCAAUAUUUGAUAAUUUUUCGAGUACCGAAAACAUUUAAUUUAGCAGAAUUAAAUGGGACAGGAUCGAUCUACGUUCCGAGUAGAUGAUCGUAGUAUAUUUAUUUGCUCAAAACCGAUUUCCGGUGAGUGAGAAAUAAUUGUUUAAAGUUGGGUACUUGAAACAUGGAGCCGUGGGAAAAGACAAGCAUUAAAUAAGAUUUAAUGUUUAUCCCACAUCGAGAUGUGGAUCACAUUUAUUACAGUAUAAAAGCUAUUACAUCACAGGAUGUAAUAAAACUGUGUGCACACGUGACGGGUUGCAAAGCCCACACGCGCGCGCCGUCGCAGCCGCCCGCCCGGCCCCGUCGCCCGACGCCCGAUGCCCGGCCCCGGCCCCGUCGCCCGAUGCCCGGCCCCGGCCCCGGUCCCGGUCCCGGUCCCGGCCCGUCCCCGUCACCCGACGCGCGUCCGUUGACUUGGAUCUUGGCAAUUGGUCUUUGGGCUGGCCUUUGGGCCUACCCUAGGCCCACAUCGACCCUUAUCUUUUUGGACCAACGAAAACUUGGUUCGAAGGAGACGAGGCCCAACCCGGUUGGGCCUAUGCGCACGCACACGAAGAAGCUUCCCACGUAACUACAAAGCUGUUACCUCUGUAACUGCUGUCGGAGGAGUCAUGGCAGAUUCAAACAGCAGGGCUGUUACACCUGUAACUCCCGACACCAUUUGAAUACCAUCAAUGGUUGGUAUUAAUCCAGCAGGCUCCCCCUAUUGAUGUGGACUGUGCCUAUAAAUAGGACAGCCUCCAUGCAUCAUAAUACACCUGAAAAUCAUCACAAGCAACAUCACUCUGCAUACUGCAUCGUUGAAGUUCUGUUCUCGCCUCGUUCCAGUUCGCCGGAGCUCGUUGGUGUGCGGUGCUGCUACCUACGAGACGAAGCCGUUUCAUCUUUGGGGACGACACGCCAAACCGAGAGCACUACCGGGGCGUAUCUCGUCUUGCGGACAGAGGACCCUCCUCGACUCGGCUGCUUUUCCUGGUUUAUUACUUUGUAAUUUCAAUACAGUUUUUCCCUUGUAAUCUCAUCUCCUACAUUUCUGGUUUCAUUGUACUACGCCCGCGAGCUUAUAUUCCAACAAUCGCAAGACGAGAUAAGCUUGCAACGUGGGAGUUUUUGAACUUGUAAUUGAACAUAACAUUUUCGAAACCUAAUACCUUUGCUGGAGAUGUCGACCGGUCCUGCGAACUCCACCGAGGCUGCCAACGCCGUCGCCGCUGCCAACGCCGCUGCCGCUGCCUCUGCCUCUACCGCCGCAUCAACCGUGGCCGCAUCAACCGUGGCACUCGCCACCUCUGCCGCUGCUGCCUCCACUUUUAGUGGUGGCCCUUUUGGUGGUUCAACACCACUUCCGUUCAUGUUUGGCGCUAACCAAACAACCUUUGGAGGAGAAAGUUCCACGCAAGGAACGACACCACUCCCGUUCAUGUUUGGUGCUAACCAAACAACUUUUGGAGGAGAAAGUUCCACGCAAGGAACGAUUGGCCAAACCUCGUUUGGGUCAACAUUUGGUUCCACUUCGAGUGGUUCCAUGGGGUCCAUGUUUGGACAGAACGUUGGGGCCUUCGGGACCAACAUGAUGGGCUAUGGCCACAUGGUGGGGUCGGUGCCAACCCAACCCCCAAGGGCGAAUACAACCGCCGACAAGCCACCGAAGUUCUGUGGCUCCGACUACAAAAGUUGGCGUCANUCUUAUCAUAUCAAUCAUGCCAAGUAAUCGUAACUAAAUAAACUAAACCACCUAAGACAAUCAUUUUUAAUAUUUAAUCACUCAGCAACUCUCCCUCCCCAACAAACCAAUCUAAAAUUGAGUUAUUUUAUAAUUAAUCAAGCUGGCAAACCUGGUCAGAGAAAUGAAAAAAAUAUUCAAAGAAAUAGUGAUUGGAUCACUCUGUUUUGCAUUGAUAAAUUAAAAUUGAACAGAUCAAACAACUCACAAUUCACAACUCAGAGAGGUUUGACAAAUUUUUUGUGCAGAAUCGAGAUGGCUUAUGAAGCUCUUGAUAACCUGCAACAAACCUUAGAUCUGAUCCUAAAACACCGUGACGAUCUCCUCACUCCUUCUGUAAAACUAGAUAUUUUUUCCAUCCGCGACCAAUCUAUUGUGUUGCAACGGAAUCUCAAACAUUAUCCAAACAAAGAAAAAAUCAGAGAGGCAGCGAAUACAGCAUAUGAGAUUAUCGAAUAUUUCUUUUUUGGAGAAUAUCUUUCAGAUUGCGGAUCGACAGAGCCGACAGCCAUACUUGCAAACAAGCUGAGGGAAGUAGCACAGAGACUGGAGUCAACCGUUGGAGAUGUGGUGGAUUACAUCAAGGGUAAGGCCUCAGUCAGCAGCGUAACUGAUUCUCCUGAUGUUAGUUCAUCAUCAUCAAGAUCAGCAAUCACAAGCAGCGAAGAUGACUUUGUUGUUGGUGUUGAUAAAGAUGUGACAGUGAUCGAGGAUCGGCUUUACAACGGAUCAUCCAAACUACAGGUCCUCCCAAUUGUUGGAACAGGAGGCAUUGGUAAGACCACACUUGCUAAAAUUGUUUAUAAUCAUGCAUCCAUUAUGAAAAUUUUAGUACCUGCGCUUGGGUCACAAUAUCACAAGAUCAUAGUGUAGAACGCAUUGUUCUAAAUCUUCUAGCUUCCAUGAAAGAAAUUUCAGCACUAAGAGAUGCUAAGAGCGACAUCCCCAUAGAAACCUUAAUUUGCGAGUACCUAAAAGGUCAGAGGUAUCUUAUUGUAAUGGAUGACAUGUGGAGUUCGAAAGCCUGGGAUGAUGUAAAGAUGUUGUUCCCUGAUGUCGGUAAUGGUAGUCGGAUCAUAGUCACCACAAGGUUGCAAGAUAUGGCUGAGUAUGUCGACUCUUCUAGCUUCAUUCAUAUGAUGAGUUUGUUGGAUUCACAACAGAGCUGGAAUUUGCUAAAGCGGAAGGUGUUCAGAUAUAAAGAAAUUCCAUUUGAAUUGGAAGACAUUGGGUUCAAAAUUGUUAAAAAUUGUGGAGGGUUGCCCCUUUCAAUCGUGGUGGUGGCAGGACUUCUAUCUAAGAUUCCGAUUCAUAAUCGAGACUCAUGGAAGCAAAUUGCUGCAGACAGCGGGCAGCUUGAAACAAUAAUUUGUUUGAGCUAUACCCAUUUACCCAGUCACUCGAAGCCAUGUCUUUUAUAUAUGGCCGGCUUUCCAGAAGAUUAUGAGAUUCGUGUCUCAGAACUUAUUCACCUUUGGAUAUCUGAAGGUUUUGUAGCACUUUUAAAUGGAUCUAAAAGCUUGGAAGAGGAGGCAGUAGAUUGUAUCGAGGAUCUUGUGGAAAGAAGUUUAGUUUUGGUCACCAACACGAAGUCUGAUGGGAAAAUAAAGAGUUGCAGCCUUCAUGAUAAUGUGCGGGAAUUUCUCGUAAGGCAGGCUGCAAAAGAGAAGGUAAUUCUUUCUGUUAUGGAUUACUUACCUACUCCUAUCCUGCGAAAGCAUUUUGUUCCACGUCUCAUAAAAGAUCAUCACAUCAUAAGUGCUAGUUCGUAUGAUCUACAUCUCAAAGACUACGUGCAUAGCUCACACAUCCGUACCAUAAUAUGUACUCCGAAGAAAGGGUACAGAUCUGUGGGCUUUGUAGAGAAGUUUAGUUCGCUAAGGGUCCUCAUGUUUUACGUGAAAUGAUCACUGGGAUGGGAGCCAGGUCAAGUGUUCGAUCUGGUUCAUUUAACUUACCUUGCUUCCAACCUUCCCAAUAGUAUUGUUCCUUCAGCCAUAUCAAAACUUCAGAAUCUUCAGACUUUAGUUAUUUAUAGAUAUGAGGUUCGUUUGCCCAUGGAGAUUUGGAGAUUGCCACAAUUAAGACAUCUUAUUGCAUUCUCA
RNAcentral lists this long non-coding RNA (6158 nucleotides) under Salvia miltiorrhiza (redroot sage). Its description in RNAcentral is "long non-coding RNA (SMIL_LNC008477)". The record is from RNAcentral. Lineage: Eukaryota; Viridiplantae; Streptophyta; Magnoliopsida; Lamiales; Lamiaceae.